Molecule: ribosomal RNA, 497 nt
Filed under: uncultured bacterium
Lineage: Bacteria
Description: partial 16S ribosomal RNA
Rfam family: Bacterial small subunit ribosomal RNA
Source: RNAcentral
GAUGAACGCUGGCGGCGUGCCUAAUACAUGCAAGUCGAGCGAACAGACGAGGAGCUUGCUCCUUUUACGUUAGCGGCGGACGGGUGAGUAACACGUGGAUAACCUACCUAUAAGACUGGGAUAACUUCGGGAAACCGGAGCUAAUACCGGAUAACAUGUUGAACCGCAUGGUUCAACAGUGAAAGACGGUUUUGCUGUCACUUAUAGAUGGAUCCUCGCCGCAUUAGCUAGUUGGUAAGGUAACGGCUUACCAAGGCAACGAUGCGUAGCCGACCUGAGAGGGUGAUCGGCCACACUGGAACUGAGACACGGUCCAGACUCCUACGGGAGGCAGCAGUAGGGAAUAUUCCGCAAUGGGCGAAAGCCUGACGGAGCAACGCCGCGUGAGUGAAGAAGGUCUUCGGAUCGUAAAACUCUGUUAUUAGGGAAGAACAAAUGUGUAAGUAACUAUGCACGUCUUGACGGUACCUAAUCAGAAAGCCACGGCUAACUACGUG